CGUGAAACGCUCAGUGUCGCGGUCCCUUCACCCAACAGCACGCGUCUCUCCUCCGCACCUCCCACCACACACAUACACCGCAUCUCUACCCCCCCUACUGCUACUUCUGCAGGUUAAAUACUACCUGAUCAUGAUUUCAUGAUCAGAGGGUGAAUUGGGAUGAUAAGUUGUGUGUUAUUUCACCUCCAGCUGUUCAUAAGGUCACCAUGCUUCGCUACAGGAACCAAAAACCCUUAGGCCCACGAGAUCAAAUUAUUCAUUGAUAGAUUUUCACGAAACAAAACAGGUGGUGCAUCGAUCCCAGUGGUUUUUCAAGGGAAUUUUUGUUUUGUCAUCUUUCAACAAUAAACGGAACAAAGGCUUGGCACUAUCUUAUGGACAAGUGUUUGAAUGUAAACUUGAUACCCGCAAAAUAUUCUCGGGUUUUAUAACUUGGAACACACACCAACCAAUUCUAGUCUAUAUCUGCCAAUUGGAUGAAACUAAUGAAUAGAUAAAAUUGAUAAAUCUACAUGAAAAAGAAAAAGUUUGAAGAAAGUGGACAAACACGUUGAUAAUAUCGACUAUUGUAUACCAGAAAAUCACUCGCGUCCAGAAAUCCCAUGUAUUAAGUGAUCAGAAGAUAAGAUUACUAUUUACGAAUAAGGUUCAAAAGGUCACAGUAAUCGUCGAAGAUAACAGACUCGUAGUGUUAAGUGCAUAGAGCCACCCAAUAAAAUAAAGUGAAAAUAAAUACUAUUACCUUAUCAACUUUUAACAAUAAUUACAUUACUAAAACUGAUAUCUUGGGAAAAAAAUUAAGAAAAAUAAAACAAAAGUGAACGAAAUAAGCUACUUUUUUUUAUGCUCUGAAGACAAAUCAGGUUUAUACUGUGUGAAAAAAAUUCUAAAAUAUAUAUUAUAAAUUUCCUGUGUGAUAGAAACAGCUGAUAUAUUCAGAAACACACACACGCAGGUAACUACAUUUCUUUCCAACAUUACGUAUCAGAACAGUGUACUGAAUCAUCUACUGUAAGGCAAAAACUACGGUAAUUAACAGACUACCUUGAGCAUCAAAUUAGAGGGAAGACGCCACCACAGCCGCUUACAUUAAUCUGGUGACACCGUUCCUCAAACAAGAAUGCUCGCCGAGGGGCAACACUGUCUGCUUGAGGUCGGUGGUGUUCCUGAGGUUGUGGCAACACUACACCCAGGAGGAAUGCACAGUGAGUAGUAGACUACUUGUGUGGGGCUCAGUUACACCCAGCUGCACCACGCCUGCGUCUUGCUGAGUGUUGUGAGGCGGAUGGGCGGUGAUGGUGGUGAGGUGAGGAGCGAUGCGGGCGGCAUGACGCUGUCCACGCCCACGCCACCACGGACGCCCCCGCAUCCGACAGAUCAUGUGCACAUCGCAAGGUCGACUCACAUCACUGUAUCAGCCCAGGACGCGCACGGCAUUUGUGUGGACGUGUGUGUGGGUGUGGACGUGGGUGGGGCUUGGUGUGUGGGGCGGGUGUCCCAAAGUGUGUGAGUGUUUCUGGCGAGACGGUAAACAGAUGGUGGCUUGUCGGGACGCGCAGUUCAUCGACAUUCCUCGAGGGAUAGAACCAUCCACCCAAGUACUGGAUCUUAGCCACAACAACCUGAGGAUCCUCCCCCGAGACUCCUUCCUCUACACGGGUCUCCGGAGCCUUCAGAAGGUGAUGUUAAACCACUGCAACCUCAUACUUCUGGAGAAAGGAGCAUUCAACGGUGUCGAGAACAUAAUGGAGCUUGAUCUCAGCAACAACCAGCUCCGAGCGGUGCCUUCAGCGGCCCUGAUGGACAUGUUAGGCCUCCGGGAGCUGCGCAUCGCUCACAACGCCCUCACUACCAUCCCUGCCUCAGCCUUCACACGCACCCCGCACAUAGUCCAGCUAGACGUGAGUCACAACAAACUACACACCAUCGAGAGGGGAGCGAUACGGAAUCUAACGGAACUAGAAAUAUUGAACUUAUUCGAUAACAAGUUUACGUUCCUAAAUGCUAGUGAACUUGAGCCUUUACUUCUCCUGCGCGUGAUUCGAGUAGAUGGCAACCCCUGGCACUGUGACUGCCGCUUAAAGUCACUCCGCCAGUGGUUUCACGACCGCAGAAUGGCCGCAUCUGUACCGCCCUCGUGUUCACAGCCGAAAUGGCUGAUAGGGCACGACUGGCAGCUCCUGGACAACGACGAGUUCAUUUGUGCCCCGCAGGUCACAGCGGUCGCUCCUAGGGUGCUGGCGGCCCAUGGGGAAAAUGUUUCAUUACUGUGUCGUGUGGAAACUGAAGUAGAAACUACUGUCACGUGGUUCAUAGGUGACGUUCCGUUAUACAAUGAUAGUGAGCUACAGAGGUACUUGGUGGUGGAGCUGAUGACUGCUAAUAAUAUGUCCUACGUGUCAAACCUGACUAUUACAGAUGUUGUGUCCGAGGACCAAGGCACGUACCGUUGUGUGGCGGAGAACAGGGCGGGGUUCAGGGAGACAAACUUCACUUUACAGGUGUCACAUGAAGUGGCCGAAGUAAGAGUGGCCAACAUCGAUGUUAGUUAUAUAAAGGAGGGUCUGUUGGGGGGGAUCUCUAUUCUUAUUUUUGUGUUACUUCUUGUGUGUAGUAUAGUGUACUGCAAGUUACGAGUGAAUCGUGAGCAGCGUCAAGACGAAGACAGUGUCGAGACUGCCCAGUCGUCGAGGAGCUCAGACUGCGACGCGCAGCACAAACUAGCCGGUUACCACGUGGUGCCAACCAGCGACUUGGAGGAGUCGUCGCCCUGCAGACAGCAACCUGAUCCUUCCUGGGACCUCAGACACAGAGGCCCUCCGGGAGAAUUUCCUCCUGGCAACGUUCUUGAUGUAAACGUUAAGCAGAGACAAGAACUGCCUGAAUGUGCUGGUGCACAGGCCAUGGCGUCCGCCACUGUCUCCUUCGUUGAGAAUCCCAAACAUGAAGUUUGUGGCAUACGGCACAACCCCCUUGAGAUAACACACUGGAAGGAUAUGGUGUGCCACAAGGACAUAUUUCUUCACAGAGUUUGUAGUCGAUCAGUGUCUCAGGUGUCCUUGGGUAGUGGUAAACAGUACCCAGAUCUGCUGGACCUGCCACAUCCACAGCUGGGAGUGCAGCUACAACAGCACAUGCAGCUGUCAGAAGGUGGACAAGAAUUGCAGACUCUCGCAGCAGCGUCAUGCAGCAGACCGCGGACGUACAGUGACGCAGGGUGUAGGACAGCAGCUGGAGUGGUGCAGGAGGUGGUGGUGGAGGAGGAAGAGAAUGUCCACCCCCUGGCUCACGCUAUACUCAACUCCCACGAACACGUCGAGUGCAAUAGGUCAUCCAGUGCCCUCAACCUCGCCCUCAGUCAGGCGGCGUCCAAUGCCUAUGCCAAUGCCCAUUUGCCGGUGAGUGGACAUCAGUGCCUGCCCGGAGCACCGCUGGACACCCAACACCCACAAGCGCUGCGGCAGGUCGUCACACACAGGGGCGACGGAGCACCUGCAGCCAGCAACGUGUGUAGCCAACAUCAUGUAGCUGACCCCUGCCACUUCGAGUACCACGCAGCGCAGCUGGAGAAGUUCUUGAAGGAGUACCGUUGCCUGCAGGAACAGCUGAUACACAUGAAGCAGUCCUACGAGGCCCACAAGAGGGCUGGAUCUAUCCCCAGGUUGGAUUGUUGUACUCCUAAUGUUGGAGAGUCACUGGGUUCCUCGGCGGCAGUGUUUCCUCCUGGUGAUCCGUGUUGUUCCUGCAGUCUUCAAGCAGCCUUCCUGCCCCCUUCUGCGGUUCAACCUAUACCAGGAAACUUCGCAGAAUCUUCCAUGGCGGAGGUUUCAUCUGGUGGAUAUCCGGAGGGUUCUCUCCCUCCCUUGUCACCUGCUGGGUUCAAUGAGGCUUCCAAUCCCCAGAUAUCGAGUGACGGAACUGUAGAUUCUGCCUUCGCCUCAGGUGGAUAUGUGGAUACUUCCAUGCCUCCUUCUGCUAGAUAUGCAGAUAGUUCUACACCACAGAUACAGAGAGGUGGCUAUACGGAUACAUCCACGUGUCAAGCCGCGGUAGAAGUGGAGUCUCCCAGUCAACAGAGCCCAGCUAGAGGAAGCCCCAGCGGCAAAACAUCAACAAGGACACUCAAGGAACCAUUAAAAUCCAUCCUGAAGAAGAGUACCGAUGGUGGCGGUCGUCGUCGGUGUGAUCAAUGGACAAGAAGUGCCGCCGCCGCCGCCACCUCCUCUUCGUGCUGUGACACCCAGACCCCUCCCCUUCCUCCGUAUGCCGCCACAGAUUCACAACAUCCUUCAUCUGAACCAUACCCAUCAAAUGAUCCUUAUCCAACCACCGAUUCACACACAACCUCAGAUCCGACAGCCGACCCAACUACGACCCUCACACACGCGCCACACACCUGCUACGACUCAUGAACCACGACGCUAAUAAGAGACACUGAAUGAAGACAACUGUACACCAAGACAACUGUUCACCAAGACAACUGUACACCAAGAUAACUGUUCAUCAAGACAACUGUACAUCAAGACAACUGUUCACCAAGAUAACUGUUCACCAAGACAACUGUUCACCAAGACAACUUUUCACCAAGACAACUGUACAUCAAGACAACUGUACACCAAGAUAACUGUUCAUCAAGACAACUGUUCACCAAGACAACUGUACACCAAGAUAACUGUACACCAAGAUAACUGUACACCAAGACAACUGUUCACCAAGAUAACUGUACACCAAGACAACUGUACACCAAGAUAACUGUACUUCAAGACAAGUGUACACCAAGACAACUGUACACCAAGAUAACUGUACUUCAAGACAACUGUACAUCACCUAAAAAUCCUCUUCAACUGUUUAGAUGCACAGUACAUGGUUAGUGUGCAUUAAUCACCAGGUAAUUGUACUAACAUCCUGUUGUACAUUACCAGAUUAAUGUGCAGUCCCCACCAAGCUAACGUUACAUGCUACUGUACAUCAUCCUAGGCUACUGUACAUCAUCCACCAGGUUACUGUACAUCAUCCACCAGGUUACUGUACAUCAUCCACCAGGCUACUGUACAUCAUCCAUCAUGCUACUGUGCAUCAUCCAUCAUGCUACUGUACUUCAUCCACCAGACUAUUGUACAUCAUGCAUCAUGCUACUGUACUUCACCCACCAAGCUACUGUACAUCAUCCAUCAUGCUACUGUGCAUCAUCCAUCAUGCUACUCUACAUCAUCCACCAGACUAUUGUACAUCAUGCAUCAUGCUACUGUACUUCAUCCACCAAGCUACUGUACAUCAUCCACCAGGUUACUGUACAUCAUCCAUCAUGCUACUGUACAUCAUCCAUCAUGCUACUCUACAUCAUCCACCAGGCUACUGUACAUCAUCCAUCAUGCUACUCUACAUCAUCCACCAGGCUACUGUACAUCAUCCCAUGCUACUGUACAUCAUCCAUCAUGCUACUGUACUUCAUCCACCAGACUAUUGUACAUCAUCCACCAGGCUAUUGUACAUCACCAAAUUGCUGUAUAUCAUUCACCGAGCUACUGUACAUCACCAAGUUCCUGUGUACAUUCUAUAACAUCCUUUUGAUCAGUGUACAUCAUAGUCUCAAGGUCACCGCAUAAUGGCCAUCAAAACACUUCAAAAUUAAGCUUCUGUAUGAUGCACAUAUUGUGUACUUUAGCAGACCACUGUACAUCACCAGGUAACUGUACAUCAUCACUACACAGCUGUAGUUCACCAGGAUGUUAACCAUUACCACACAGCUGUGCAUCACCACACAGCUGUACAUCACCACACAGCUGUACAUCACCAAGAUGAUGUACAUAAACGGGCUCCUAGUCCUUACCAAACUACAGUAUUGUACAGUCUACCAAAAAAUAGUAAACCGUGACAUUUUUAGAUUACAAAAUACAACAAUGAAAUAUGAAGCAGUUUGGAACAACACCCUGUAUGGAUCAUGGUUGUGUUGUGUUGUGUUGUGUUUUGUUGUGUAUUUUUUCAUUUACCAAAUAAUAAACUAUAACAUCAUACAAGUACACCUUUCUGAUGUUGUGUUACGUUAUUUAUAAUUUCUUCAUUAGUAUUAUGAUCCAAUGUUGCUCUUGUUGGUCAUUAAAUCUUGUCUCCCUUGACUUAUAUUAUCAUAUUAUAUUAAAAAAUAUACCUGAGGAAAACCCUUAAAUGUUUUACACCAGACACCAGGUAAACUAUGUUAGCUUAUCACCUACAAUAAUAAUAUUACCUGGAUUUAUUUACCUUAUGUCUGGUUAAUAAUAUCAGGUAGGACAAGUAAUUAUCAAGGUUACAUAAUGUUGAUAAUGUUCUCUGGAGAGUUUGUAAGAUGGUCUGAUAGUUUAUGGGUAAAUUAUACUAACAGUAUUUUCUUUUGUGUGUGUAUAAGACGCAGCAGAAUUUACAUAGAGAAUUUUAUUGUGCUUGAGGUAAACAGAGAGAACUUUACAGUGCCUGAGGUUAACAGAGAGAACUUUGACACAUGAGGUGAACAGAGAGAACUUUAUUGUGCUUGAGGUUAACAGAGAGAACUUUGACACAUGAGGUGAACAGAGAGAACUUUAUUGUGCUUGAGGUAAACAGAGAGAACUUUACAGUGCUUAAGGUAAACAGCACACACUCACUUAACCUUCAGGGUUACCAACUGCUUCGUGCUCUACGCCAAUAUAUUUCAUAUUUGAAUUGUACAUCAUCAUUCUGCUGUACAUCGUCAGUCUGAAGUACAUCACCAGUCUGCUGUACUUCACCAGUCUGCUGUACAUGAACGGUGACGCUGUACAUCACCAGGCUGUUGUACAUCACCAGGCUGGUGUACAUCACUAGGCUGCUGUACUUCACCAGUCUGCUGUACAUCACCAGUCUGCUGUACAUCACCAGUCUGCUGUACAUCACCAUAAUGCUGUACAUCACCAUAAUGCUGUACAUCACCAUAAUGCUGCACAGUUUAUGUCAUCACAACUAAGACUUGCUGUACAUAUGUGUCUUUUGUAGAUGUUGUACAUAAUUUUUACGCAGGAAAAAUCAUAUACCGACUUAAGUUUGGCGACAAUCCUCCAGUUCCUUGUGGCCAUCAUUGUACCAUAAAGCUACACCGUGUACCAUGGCCAACAUUGUACCAUAAAG
Molecule: unclassified non-coding RNA, 7119 nt
Filed under: Homarus americanus (American lobster)
Lineage: Eukaryota; Metazoa; Arthropoda; Malacostraca; Decapoda; Nephropidae
Description: uncharacterized LOC121867346, transcript variant X2
Source: RNAcentral